AUUGAACGCUGGCGGCAUGCUUUACACAUGCAAGUCGAACGGUAACAGGCCGCAAGGUGCUGACGAGUGGCGAACGGGUGAGUAAUGCAUCGGAACGUGCCCAGUCGUGGGGGAUAACGCAGCGAAAGCUGUGCUAAUACCGCAUACGAUCUAUGGAUGAAAGCGGGGGACCGUAAGGCCUCGCGCGAUUGGAGCGGCCGAUGGCAGAUUAGGUAGUUGGUGGGGUAAAGGCUCACCAAGCCAACGAUCUGUAGCUGGUCUGAGAGGACGACCAGCCACCCUGGGACUGAGACACGGCCAUGACUCCUACGGGAGGCAGCAGUGGGGAAUUUUGGACAAUGGGCGCAAGCCUGAUCCAGCAAUGCCGCGUGCAGGAAGAAGGCCUUCGGGUUGUAAACUGCUUUUGUACGGAACGAAAAGGUUUGGGUUAAUACCCUGGGCCGAUGACGGUACCGUAAGAAUAAGCACCGGCUAACUACGUGCCAGCCGCCGCAGUAA
Molecule: ribosomal RNA, 498 nt
Filed under: uncultured bacterium
Lineage: Bacteria
Description: partial 16S ribosomal RNA
Rfam family: Bacterial small subunit ribosomal RNA
Source: RNAcentral